Mugil cephalus (flathead mullet) is the source of this 68-nucleotide small nucleolar RNA. RefSeq annotates it as small nucleolar RNA SNORD58. The transcript has a single exon. Lineage: Eukaryota; Metazoa; Chordata; Actinopteri; Mugiliformes; Mugilidae. The record is from RefSeq and is a predicted model, not a curated record.
UUGCACUGAUGACCUCUUAGGACACCUUUGGAUUAAACAUGAAAACAAAGCGAAUGUUUCUGAGCGAC